AACAGGCCCUUAGAUUUCGCUACUGUAGCAAUUUCGUUUAUUUAUGGUAAAUAUUGUCCAAUUAUAAACUAACUAGGGUCAAAAGAUUCGUCUUACAAUUUACAGGCAAACUGUAUAAUUAGUUUUUGUUUUCGUCUAUAUUUAAUGCUUUAUGCAUGUGCCGCAAGAUUUGAUGUGACAGGGAAUCUUAAAAAAUUUUAGGAACUAAACAAAGCCUCAGAUAAACUUUUUUUUACUCUCUGCCAGGCUGCCACAAACAUAAAAAGUAAUAAUUAAAAAUAUUAUUUAUUCAUUUAUUAUAAAAAAAUACCAACAAAUGCCUAAUAGAUUGGACUGAAAAAUUCAAACGAACACGCUUGAUGGACGAGAAACAAACUUUUGAAAAUUGAAAGUGCGGUGGCCAAUGAAUCUGAUGCUCAAAUGUAUGAAGGUGAUUUGUACUACAUGAUUAGCAGUUUAGCACAAAAGCUAGAUGACAUAGCAAGUGAGUCCUCACAAAAGCCCCCCCCC
RNAcentral lists this long non-coding RNA (510 nucleotides) under Sorghum bicolor (sorghum). RNAcentral's name for it is "long non-coding RNA (SBIC_LNC015087)". Lineage: Eukaryota; Viridiplantae; Streptophyta; Magnoliopsida; Poales; Poaceae. The record is from RNAcentral.